AUUGAACGCUGGCGGCAUGCUUUACACAUGCAAGUCGAACGGCAGCACGGGUGCUUGCACCUGGUGGCGAGUGGCGGACGGGUGAGUAAUGCAUCGGAACGUGUCCUAAAGUGGGGGAUAACGCAUCGAAAGAUGUGCUAAUACCGCAUAUUCUCUGAGGAGGAAAGUAGGGGAUCGAAAGACCUUAUGCUUUUGGAGCGGCCGAUGUCUGAUUAGCUAGUUGGUAGGGUAAUGGCUUACCAAGGCGACGAUCAGUAGUUGGUCUGAGAGGACGACCAGCCACACUGGGACUGAGACACGGCCCAGACUCCUACGGGAGGCAGCAGUGGGGAAUUUUGGACAAUGGGCGCAAGCCUGAUCCAGCCAUUCCGCGUGCAGGAUGAAGGCC
RNAcentral lists this ribosomal RNA (388 nucleotides) under uncultured bacterium. Its description in RNAcentral is "bacterial SSU rRNA". It matches the Rfam family "Bacterial small subunit ribosomal RNA", at positions 30 to 416 of the family's 1533-position model. The record is from RNAcentral.